This 349-nucleotide long non-coding RNA is filed under the name Nicotiana tabacum (common tobacco). RNAcentral's name for it is "long non-coding RNA (NTAB_LNC003623)". The record is from RNAcentral. Lineage: Eukaryota; Viridiplantae; Streptophyta; Magnoliopsida; Solanales; Solanaceae.
UUCUCGUAUCUUUUAGCAGAUUGAUUGAAGCAAAUUAGAGUGAGUUCAAUUAAAUCUAUCGGGUUCUGUGGAAAUCACUCACGGAGAUGCUAAAUUUUGUCUCGGUUAUGUGCCAUCCGAUUCAAUUGGGAAUCUCAUUGUUUAGGGUUUACUAUCAUUUCUCAAAACUUGGAUAAGAUGACUGCUAAUUUUGAAAUUAAGCUCUAUUAUUUUGUGAUGGGAGGUUAUUAUUCUUGAAAGGUGAAUGCUCUUCUUCUUUCAUACAGUAUUUGCUCUUUAGAGCAGGUUGAAAUAAUUGGGGAUUUCAUUGUUUAGGGCUUACAACCGCAUCCAAAAACUUGGGUAAGAC